UUCCGGUUGAUCCUGCCGGACCUGACUGCUAUCGGAUUGAUACUAAGCCAUGCGAGUCAUUGUAGUAAUACAAGGCAGACGGCUCAGUAACGCGUAGUCAACCUACCCUAUGGACGGGAAUAACCUCGGGAAACUGAGUAUAAUGCCCGAUAGAACAUUAUACCUGGAAUGGUUUAUGUUCCAAAUGAUUUAUCGCCAUUGGAUGGGACUGCGGCCUAUCAGUUUGUUGGUGAGGUAAUGGCCCACCAAGACUAUUACAGGUACGGGCUCUGAGAGGAGUGGCCCGGAGAUGGGUACUGAGACACGGACCCAGGCCCUAUGGGGCGCAGCAGGCGAGAAAACUUUGCAAUGUGCGAAAGCACGACAAGGUUAAUCCGAGUGGUUUCUGCUAAAGGAACCUUUUGUCAGUCCUAGAAACACUAACGAAUAAGGGGUGGGCAAGUUCUGGUGUCAGCCGCCGCGGUAAAACCAGCACCUCAAGUGGUCAGGAUGAUUAUUGGGCCUAAAGCAUCCGUAGCCGGCUCUAUAAGUUUUCGGUUAAAUCUGUACGCUUAACGUACAGGCUGCCGGGAAUACUGCAGAGCUAGGGAGUGGGAGAGGUAGACGGUACUCGGUAGGAAGGGGUAAAAUCCUUUGAUCUAUUGAUGACCACCUGUGGCGAAGGCGGUCUACCAGAACACGUCCGACGGUGAGGGAUGAAAGCUGGGGGAGCAAACCGGAUUAGAUACCCGGGUAGUCCCAGCUGUAAACUAUGCAAACUCAGUGAUGCAUUGGCUUGUGGCCAAUGCAGUGCUGCAGGGAAGCCGUUAAGUUUGCCGCCUGGGAAGUACGUACGCAAGUAUGAAACUUAAAGGAAUUGGCGGGGGAGCACCACAAGGGGUGAAGCCUGCGGUUCAAUUGGAUUCAACGCCGA
This 913-nucleotide ribosomal RNA is filed under the name uncultured archaeon. RNAcentral describes it as "bacterial SSU rRNA". It matches the Rfam family "Archaeal small subunit ribosomal RNA", at positions 1 to 921 of the family's 1478-position model. The record is from RNAcentral.